UUUUUUUCUUUUUCAUCGUCUUUUUUUUCCAUCAAAAAAUAAAUAAAUCAAAAGAUCUUCUUAUGCCCAUAAUAUUUAAAUUUCUCCAUGUGUAAAAUCUUUCUACCAAAGAAGAUCUCUUUAUCAUCCACUGGAUAUUGAAAAGACGAUUUGGUUAAUUUGUGUAAAGAUUAGAUUAACACUCAUUAGAUUCAUCAAAUGGUUCUAAUGCGCAGUAGCUGCAGCGUUUUCGACUUAAUACUUCGAAUAUGGUCAAAUCGAAGUAGAUUCUAUGAACCAAAUACCGAUAAAUAGAUAUUUUUUGUAUCCAACUGCACAAAUCAUUUUAAGGUUCAUCGAAACUUUUUCGGAGAUGAAAUACCACCUAAAGCAAGGGAGAAGGGACACAAGUUGGUUUUCUAUGUCGAGGUGAAUAGCAAUAUCUGAUUAUAUACAUUGAGGUUUGGUAAAAAUCUUUUCAUUACGUAUUAAUUCCGGAUGAAUUUAGCACUGCUAGAGUCCAUUGUAGCAAUGUUCACGAAGUAUAAUAUAGGAUAUUGUUAUUAUUAACAUGUUAUUUAGGGAGUUUGCAAGGUCAGAUUCGUUUUCCAGAUAUAUAUAUAUAAGGUCGGGUGAAAGGUUUAUUCGCGUUUCUGUACUGUUGGUCCCACUACAAGCUACUUUUGGACCCUUAAUACCAAUAUUUGAGCUUGGAUGAAGUAUAAAAGUUCAGUAUUUUUUUCCAGGGACCUACUAUAUGUUCAGCUCGUACUAUUCUCAAUAAGUUUUAAGCUCAGUUUUGUAUAACACCACAGAGUUUGGAGAAAAUCUAAAUUAUCAAUUAUGUGAAUGCUUUGACAGAAGGUCUAAGAUGUUGACAGGAACAAGGAGUUUGUAGAAUUGUGAACUAUUGUAACUCAUGCUUUUGCAAAUAAUUUUUUCCGUUUGAUCGUUGGCAUGUUGAUCUCGAUGAAAGAUUUUCCUAACAACAAUCCACUUAUACAGAUAUCGACAAUCAUUCUAAGUAUGGAAUGGGUUAUCUUAAAUAGUUGGUUAGACAUAGGUUAAAUUUGGCCUCAUGUAGUCAUCAAGCAUUAAUGUUCCUUUCAAGGUUAUGUACAAAAUGGUGUGUGUACAUGUAUUCUCUUUGAUUUCUGAAGUAAGUUGGAUGUUAAUCCUGUAUUUUUGUAUGCAUAGCCAAAAUUGAAAAAGCGUGUAUGGAACCGCGACAUGUUGGAUUUUGGGAACAUGAAUACCAGCAUAUGCAUCACAUCUUAUAUUAUU
Papaver somniferum (opium poppy) is the source of this 1263-nucleotide long non-coding RNA. RefSeq lists it as uncharacterized. The transcript is spliced from 5 exons. Lineage: Eukaryota; Viridiplantae; Streptophyta; Magnoliopsida; Ranunculales; Papaveraceae. The record is from RefSeq and is a predicted model, not a curated record.